Molecule: long non-coding RNA, 2856 nt
Filed under: Salmo salar (Atlantic salmon)
Lineage: Eukaryota; Metazoa; Chordata; Actinopteri; Salmoniformes; Salmonidae
Description: lncRNA (ENSSSAG00000085524.1)
Source: RNAcentral
UACCAAUAGGUGCCCUUCUUUGGGAGACAUUGGAAAACCUCCCUGGUCUCUGUGGUUGAAUCUGGGUUUGAAAGUCACUGCUCGACUGAGGGACCUUACAGAUAAUUGUAUGUGUGGGGUACAGAGAUAGUCAAGUCAAAAAGCAUGUCAAACACUAUUAUUGCACAGUGAGUCCAUUCAACAUUAGUUGCUAAGCAUAUUUUUUACUCCUGAACUUAUCUAGGCUUGCCAUAAAAGGGCUUUUCAUUUUUUAUUAAUUUGUAAAAUUUAGAAAAACUAUUCCACUUUGACAUUAUGGGGUAUUGUGUAUAGGCCAGUGACACAAAAUCUCAAUUGAAUCCAUUAUAAAUUCAGGCUGUAACACAAGAAAAUGUGGAAAAAAUAAAGGUGUGUCAAUACUUUGAAGGCAAGGUACACAGUGACACUUGCUUUCCCUUCCUAAAGUGUCACUACAUUUACUUCCCUACUAAAUUGGAGUACAUCACUUUAAGUUCCAGUGUGUAUUGAGACGUUUGGAUGGACCUUAAAGUCCUCCGGUUGUGGUGCUCAUGUACUGUAUCCUCGGUCGACUACAAAGUAUUUUGAAUAUGGUAGGGAAACUCACUGCGCUGUAUGUAUUUUUGAACAAUGCCAUAACAAUGUCAUCUGCCUUGUUUAGAGUGGUUUACCAGAUGGCUUCCAUGGAGUUUCUCAACCUCCACCAAAUAGGGAAUUGCCAUUGACAGCAAGUAAACAACCAGAACACCAACUGCCGCCAAUGUAAACAUCUUAAGGUAGCAGACGUCUCUGCUACAUUCAAAACCACGGGUGCAGUUGUCAGGUAAAAACAACAUCCUCCUUACACUACCUCUCAAACGCUUUCCCAACCCAGACUCAACUCUUACAAUCUCUACCCCAAAUGUUGAAUUAACGUUGAAUGAAUGUAUUCACUGUAUACAUAUUAUCCGUAUAGGCUCGGUAAAAGGUCAUAAAGCAUCCAGUGACGGGUGGAAAUGAAGACCACACAGCUUGAAGAGAUCAGGUUGAAGAGGGAGGACAUAUUUAACUUGUGGGUCAUAGGUCAAACUCUCUCCCUUUCCAUCUCCCCCGCUCUCUUUCACUAUCUAUCACGGCACAAGGCGAGACCCAGAUGCAGACACAGGAGGCAGAUGGUUGGAGUCUUACAGUGUUUAAUAACCCAAAGGGGUAGGCAAGAGAAUGGUCGUGGACAGGCAAAAAAGUCAAAAACAGAUUAGCGUCCAGGAGGUACAGAGUGGCAGACAGGCUCGUGGUCAAGGCAGGCAGAAUGGUCAGGCAGGCAGGUACAGAGUCCAGAAACAGGCAAGGGUCAAAACCAGGAGGACUAGAAAAAGGAGAAUAGCAAAAAGGAGUAUGGGAAAAACACGCUGGUUGACUUGACUAAACAUACAAGACAAACUGGCACAGAGUGACAGGAAACACAGGGAUAAAUACACUGGGGGAAAGAAGCGACCUCUGGAGGGAGUGGAGACAAUCACAGGAACAGGUGAAACAGAUCAGGGCGUGACAUUCUCACCUUUCUCCUUCCCUCUUUCUGUCCCUCGACCCCUCUCUUUCUAUCACCCCACCUCUCUCUUUCUUUACCUACAUGUAUACUCCACUCUUUUCCUCUUCUGACCCCCUCUCUCUCCUUCAUUCUCACCCUUUCUCUCUCUCAGCCUGGCUGUUAUUUCUCCGUAUGUUUUGACUAUGUGCUACCUAAGCUGGUCUAUGCUGUGGGCCUGUGGCAGGUCUCUGGCAGACAGCAGUGUCAAGUUGGAGGGAGGGUUGGUGGGCUGUGUGUGACAUGGAGAAGGGCCCACCGGCACCGCAGCAGCUCCGCUGAGGCCAGGUCUUCAGCUGUCCCACCCUGCCUCUGCUUACAGUCACUAUCAAUCCAGCUGAUCCAGAAGCAGCCCGACCUUGACCUGACAGAUCAACACUGCUCUCUGUCUCUCUUUUAUUGGAUGGAAUGCUCCUUGGUCCACAAGAGAGGAUGGAUGGAGAGAAGAUGGAUGGAGACUAAAGAUGGAUGAAUAGAGGAUAGACUAGAGAUGGAUGGAGAGAGGAUGGAUGGAGAGAGGAUGAAUAGAGGAUAGACUAGAGAUGGAUGGAGAGAGGAUGGAUGGAGAGAGGAUGGAUAGAGACUAGAGAUUGAUGGAGAGAGGAUGGAUAGAGGAUAGAGACUAGAUAUGGAUGGAGAGAGGAUGGAUAGAGGAUAGAGACUAGAUAUGGAUGGAGAGAGGAUGGAUAGAGGAUAGAGACUAGAUAUGGAUGGAGAGAGGAUAGAGACUAGAUAUGGAUGGAGAGAGGAUGGAUAGAGGAUAGAGACUAGAUAUGGAUGGAGAGAGGAUGGAUAGAGGAUAGAGACUAGAUAAGGAUGGAGAGAGGAUGGAUAGAGGAUAGAGACUAGAUAUGGAUGGAGAGAGGAUGGAUAGAGGAUAUAGACUAGAUAUGGAUGGAGAGAGGAUGGAUAGAGGAUAGAGACUAGAUAUGGAUGGAGAGAGGAUGGAUUGAGAGAGGCGUGGGUGUGGAUGAAUGGUAAGUGGAGGACCUGCAGUACUAAAAGCCGGCGACCCAGACAAUACACACCUACUCACAGGGACCUAACACCACUCACAGGACUGCUCCUUGGAUCACUGCUACCACAUGCUAAAACACUUAGAUACCACACACACAAACAGCAAAAUGUGAAGUUCCAAGCACAUUCAAAAUACAUUCCUGAGACACACACUACCAGUCAGUCAGAGACAUAAACACACGUUAUUGUGUGUGUUGUUGCCAUGCGAUGGUGAUGAGCAGCACAUGACAUGAAUGGGGCGUGGAGCCCAACCUCUUAUCAGACAAAGGAGAUACACA